This 402-nucleotide ribosomal RNA is filed under the name uncultured bacterium. Its description in RNAcentral is "bacterial SSU rRNA". It matches the Rfam family "Bacterial small subunit ribosomal RNA", at positions 355 to 754 of the family's 1533-position model. The record is from RNAcentral.
UGAGGAAUAUUGCGCAAUGGAGGCAACUCUGACGCAGCCAUGCCGCGUGCAGGAAGAAGGCGCUACGCGUUGUAAACUGCUUUUAUCCGGGAAGAAACCCCAGGACGUGUCCUGGGUUGACGGUACCGGAGGAAUAAGCACCGGCUAACUUCGUGCCAGCAGCCGCGGUAAUACGAAGGGUGCAAGCGUUAUCCGGAUUCAUUGGGUUUAAAGGGUGCGUAGGCGGGACAGCAAGUCAGCGGUGAAAUCCCGUGGCUUAACCACGGAAUUGCCGUUGAUACUGCUGUUCUUGAGUACGCUUGACGUGGGCGGAAUGUGCCGUGUAGCGGUGAAAUGCUUAGAUAUGGCACAGAACACCGAUAGUGAAGACAGCUCACGAAGGCGAAACUGACGCUGAGGCAC